UAAAAUUUUGAAAUAGAAUUUCGUAUAACUCCAAUAAUAUGGAUUGGAGGUCUCUACCAGGAACCAUUAAUUCCUGAUUACGAAGAAGAUACAAUUAUUU
RNAcentral lists this non-coding RNA (100 nucleotides) under Clostridium saccharobutylicum. Its description in RNAcentral is "Guanine sequence". It matches the Rfam family "Purine riboswitch aptamer". Rfam says of the family: Riboswitches are metabolite binding domains within certain messenger RNAs that serve as precision sensors for their corresponding targets. The record is from RNAcentral. Lineage: Bacteria; Bacillati; Bacillota; Clostridia; Eubacteriales; Clostridiaceae. RNAcentral also lists the same sequence under 1 other name.